Molecule: transfer RNA, 262 nt
Filed under: Helianthus annuus (common sunflower)
Lineage: Eukaryota; Viridiplantae; Streptophyta; Magnoliopsida; Asterales; Asteraceae
Description: hypothetical non coding rna
Rfam family: tRNA (bases 8-80)
Source: RNAcentral
GACAGAAGCCCGUCUAGCUCAGUUGGUAGAGCGCAAGGCUCUUAACCUUGUGGUCGUGGGUUCGAGCCCCACGGUGGGCGCCUUUUUAGUUUUUAAGAUAUCAGCUUAUCGAUUGAGAUUUUAACUGAUUAGCUAUGCAGUUUUGAGGUGCUGACCAUGAAAACUUCAACUCUUGAAUAGCACAAAAGCCUGUCUAGCUCAGUUGGUAGAGCGCAAGGCUCUUAACCUUGUGGUCGUGGCUUCGAGCCCCAUGGUGGGCGCC